Molecule: non-coding RNA, 122 nt
Organism: Trametes cingulata
Lineage: Eukaryota; Fungi; Basidiomycota; Agaricomycetes; Polyporales; Polyporaceae
Source: the annotation of a GenBank genome assembly
UGCCCCGUGGCUGAGUUGGUUACAGCGUCCGACUGUUAUAUCGCGGCAAAGCUUGUCUUCCUGGUCAAGUCUAGUUGUGAAGUUCCAUCGGAAGGUCGUGAGUUCGAGCCUCACCGGGGCAG